This 418-nucleotide ribosomal RNA is filed under the name uncultured soil bacterium. RNAcentral's name for it is "bacterial SSU rRNA". It matches the Rfam family "Bacterial small subunit ribosomal RNA", at positions 26 to 433 of the family's 1533-position model. The record is from RNAcentral.
AGAUUGAACGCUGGCGGCAUGCCUUACACAUGCAAGUCGAACGGCAGCACGGGAGCAAUCCUGGUGGCGAGUGGCGAACGGGGUGAGUAAUACAUCGGAACGUGCCCAGUUGUGGGGGAUAGCCCGGCGAAAGCCGGAUUAAUACCGCAUACGACCUACGGGUGAAAGCGGGGGAUCGCAAGACCUCGCGCUAUUGGAGCGGCCGAGUGUCGGAUUAGCUUGUGGUGGGUAAAAGACCACCAAGGCUACGAUCCGUACGCUGGUCUACGGAGAGGACGGACCAAGGCCACACUGGGACUGAGACACGGCCCAGACUCCUACGGGACGGCAGCAGUGGGGAUUUGGACAAGUGGGACGCGAAGCCUAGGAUCCAGCCGAUGCCGCGUAGCCGGGAAGAGGCCUUCGGUUAGUAAACCGU